AUGCUUUGUCUUGUGGUGGGACAUGCGUUUCUUUGCCAACAGGUUGGCCAGCCUGGUAAGGAGGGCUUUAAACUAGGAAAGACGGGGGAAGGGGAGAGUUAUAGAGACAGGGUAGCUGGCAAAAGACUGCUCAAGUCGGGAUGCCUCCAGCAGGUGCAUGCAGCCAGGGAAGUGCGCACGGGACAUGACUAUGGAGGAUCCUCUUGUAUCCCUCCUGGAAAACCUGCAUGCUUGAUCACCUCUCUGAAAUGCCUGUACACCAAUGCAUGCAGCGUGGGGAACAAACAGGAAGAACUAGAGAUMUGUGUGCGGUCGCAGGACCAUGAUCUCAUUGCAAUUACAGAGACAUGGUGGGAUAGCUCGCAUGACUGCAGUGCUGUCAUGGAUGGCUAYGUGCUUUUUAGGAAAGACAGGCCAGGAAGGCGAGGUGGUGGAGUUGCUCUUUCUGUGAGAGAGCAACUGGAAUGUAUUGAGCUGUGCCUAGGGGUGGAUGAAGAGCGAGUCGAGAGCUUAUGGGUAAGGAUUAAAGGGCAGGCUAGCAUGGGUAACACUGUUGUAGGUGUUUACGACAGGCCACCUGAUCAGGAUGAGGAAGUCGAUGAGGUCUUCUACAAACAGCUGGAAGUAGCCUCACAAUUACAGGCCCUGGUUCUCACGGGGGACUUCAACCAUCCUGACAUCUGCUGGAGAGACAACACAGCUAGGCACAAACAGUCCAGGAGGUUCCUGCAGAGCACUGAGGAUAACUUUUUGACACAGGUGGUGGAAGAGCCAAUGAGGAGAGGUGUGCUGCUGGACCUCGUACUAACAAACAAAGAAGGACUGGUUGGAGAUGUGAAGGUCGGGGGCAGCGUUGGCUGCAGUGACCAUGAGAUGGUGGAGUUCAGGAUCCUGUGGGGAGAAAGCAGGGCAAAAAGUAGGAUCGCAACCCUGGACUUCAGGAGAGCAAACUUUGGCCUCUUCAUGGACCUACUUGGAGGAAUCCCAUGGCUUAGGGCCCUAGAAGGAAGGGGGUCCAAGAGACAAAGGUAUAAAGGUAUAGUAACUCUGUAA
This 1053-nucleotide long non-coding RNA is filed under the name Apteryx haastii (Great spotted kiwi). RNAcentral describes it as "lncRNA (ENSAHAG00000001800.1)". Lineage: Eukaryota; Metazoa; Chordata; Aves; Apterygiformes; Apterygidae. The record is from RNAcentral.